GUAGAAUUUGAUCAAAAUGAAUCCUAAUGUUUAAAUUAAAAGAACCAAUAAAAACAAAGAAAAAAUAAUUACAAUGCCACAUGCUUGAGGUAGUAUAUUGAGUAAAAUAAUUCCAUAAGUGCUUUAAAUUUAGCAAAUCCAACAUUGUCUAAAGUUAUGUCCCCUUCUUUGUAUAAGCCCCUUCGGAUUUAUUCAUACUAUAUGCUUUACAUUUUUGCCAUUACAAAUUAAUGACGUACUUCAAAUAAUCUAAAAAGUAAUUCUAAUAUUUUCAGAGAAGAGUAUGAAAUCAGACUAUUUAAUUUUAACAGAACUGACAUUCUUUUAAAAUUUUUGUUAUUUUUAUUACUAUUAUUAUUUCACUUCUAGGGAUCGAACCCAGGAUUCAUGCAUUCUAUGCAACACACUACCAUUAAGCUCCAUUCUGUAUCCUAUCAGUAGAUUUUCUCUUGGGGGAAAUGCCAAAAGAGUAACAUUGUUUUGUUUCAUAAUUUAAAUGCAUUGGAAAGGACUUUUUUUCUCAUCAGAGAGACAAUGGUUGGCACAUUCUGAAAACAUAAUAGUUUACUUUAAUCCUUUCUCAUAUCAGCUAUUUCUACAUGACAACUUGCUGCUACCUCCCUAGUACUUCUAAGUUUUCCUAUGACAACAAAGUAGAUACCAGAAUGUACAAACUCUCAAGGAUUUCAUCUUUUUAGUGUCCCCCCCUCACUGCCCACAUUGGAGGUAAUGCCUUGUUUAUAUGACACAUAAGAGAGAAAGCAUCUGGAAAUAAGAGAAUAAUAUCUUCACCAGAACAGGAUUAGUGAGGGUUAACAUAUCAAUUUCUAUUUAGCUCUCCUCAUAUUUAACCUGGAAUGUCUAUGUAAGCAUUCCAGUUCCUGGUCUGUUUUCUUGAGUUUUGCCAUGCAGCAAAGUACACUGUCCAUGCAUCCACCUUCCUUGUGGUAAAGGGUUUCAUUUUAACCUGAGCAGUUUUGACUGAAAAUCUGGAGCGAUUGUGUAUCAUAACAGCCUAAGAAUAUUCUCUGAUAAUUAUUCCUACUGCAAUUAGUCCAGAAAAAUCAUGCUAUUUGUUUGACACUUUCAUCUCUAUGCUCCUGAAUCUGCUAAUGAUAUUGUUUUCUGUCCAUCUUGUAACUUUUAGGUAAAAGUACAGUCAUGGGACUGUUUACUUUUACUUUUAGGUAUCAAAUUUUGAUAAAUCCCAUGCAUCUUCCUUGCAUUUAAAAAGUGCAAAGUAUGGGACUGAAGAGUUCUUAAUGCAUUAAUUGCCUAUCAGAAAUAUAAUUAAUAUUCAUUCUAGAAAAGGCUCCAUAUAUGGGCCUAGAAGAAUUCUCUAUAAAAAAGCAUCAGACUCAUACACUUUUAAUAUUUUAUAUUUUCUAUUGUUGAUUAAAUAUGUAUUUUACUCUUUUCUUUAAUAGUGGAUGAAGAUUCUACGGAUGACAAUUUAAAAAGGUAGGAUUUUAUAGAGUAAAAAAAUUGUAUGAUAGCUAAUUAUAGAAUGAAGAUGAAAGGAACAAAUAUUUUUUGAGUGUUCCAGUCUAGGAUAGACAAUUGCAUCUAACACUUGUUUGUUAAAGUCAUCGCAAUGACUUUGAAAGUGUCUGUGCUAUUAUAACCUGUUAUUUACUAAUUAAGCAGUUCUCACUCAUUCAUAGAAGUUG
This 1670-nucleotide long non-coding RNA is filed under the name Marmota monax (woodchuck). Lineage: Eukaryota; Metazoa; Chordata; Mammalia; Rodentia; Sciuridae. The record is from RNAcentral.